UAGGGAAUCUUCCACAAUGGGCGAAAGCCUGAUGGAGCAACGCCGCGUGUGUGAUGAAGGGUUUCGGCUCGUAAAACACUGUUGUAAGAGAAGAAUGACAUUGAGAGUAACUGUUCAAUGUGUGACGGUAUCUUACCAGAAAGGAACGACUAAAUACGCGCCAG
RNAcentral lists this ribosomal RNA (164 nucleotides) under uncultured bacterium. Its description in RNAcentral is "partial 16S rRNA". It matches the Rfam family "Bacterial small subunit ribosomal RNA", at positions 355 to 511 of the family's 1533-position model. The record is from RNAcentral.